GUUUGUCACCUCUUAGCCGUGCCUACUGGGUCACUGUGUCCUUAGCAGGAAAAAGAAAGAACUGGGGAAUAGCAGGCGAUUCUUUCCUUUCUAUAAGGCAGCUCCAUCUGCAGGGGAUGGGCGGCUCCUUGCUCAAGGGAGUGGAGCACAACCUCUCUCCAGUCCCUGGCUUCCUGUGACACUAUGCGAGCGCCAGGAGAGACAUCAGGAGUGGAAGACUUUGGGGAAGCGAACUUCACCAAUACUGUCUAGGCUGGGCCCAAGCUCAUGGCAAUCCUCCUGCCUCAGCCUCCUGAGUGCUGGGAUUACAGGUGCACACCACCACGCAUGGCUGAUAUUCUGGAAAAGGCUAAAAUACAGAGAUGGAAAACAUAUAAGAAGCUGUCCCCAAGAAUGACAACGGCGAUUUGAAAUUUCUGACUUGUAACCUCGGGGACCUGCAGACGUGGAACCCUUCAGGCCAAGACCACAAGGUCUCCCAGCAGCCCCCAGACGCCUGUCCAGGCAGACUCUCUCCGUCUCCAUAUACCACACGCAUGUUCUAUUUAUAUGUUUCUUUGUCCUGAACAAGAUUUGGCCCCAUUGUGUGGGAGCAACACCAGAAAAGAAAAACACAAUUCACCCACAGAGAGAAAAACAGAGAUUGUGGGAGCUUGGAGGAAUUUACAUACUCUGCUUGCUUCAUUUUCGGGUGAUGUCAGAGUCAUGGAAUAUGCCUUUGAAAAACAUCACACACACACACACACACACACACACACACACGCACACACGCUCACCAGCUACGUCAAGUGGAUUGUCAUUAAAAGGAGAAAUGUAAACACUAGCUUCUCUGCCCCUCCCCUCCAUUUCCUUCAUCAACCGCUAAAGAACCUAACAAAUUAGUCCAGACUGCAUUUGGAUGGAAUGAAAGGCCUGUCUGCAAAGGAGGAGGGGUG
Molecule: long non-coding RNA, 935 nt
Filed under: Heterocephalus glaber (naked mole-rat)
Lineage: Eukaryota; Metazoa; Chordata; Mammalia; Rodentia; Bathyergidae
Description: lncRNA (ENSHGLG00000033851.1)
Source: RNAcentral